RNAcentral lists this ribosomal RNA (871 nucleotides) under uncultured bacterium. Its description in RNAcentral is "bacterial SSU rRNA". It matches the Rfam family "Bacterial small subunit ribosomal RNA", at positions 21 to 901 of the family's 1533-position model. The record is from RNAcentral.
GGCUCAGGACGAACGCUGGAGGCGUGCUUAACACAUGCAAGUCGAACGAGACUGCUUUAAUAGCUUGCUAUUUUAGUAGUUUAGUGGCGGACGGGUGAGUAACACGUAAGUAACCUGGCCUUUAGUUGGGGAUAACUCUCCGAAAGGAGAGCUAAUACCGAAUAUUCUCAUAAUAUCGCAUGGUAAUAUGAGGAAAGGUUUACUGCUAGAGGAUGGGCUUGCGUCUGAUUAGCUAGUUGGUGAGGUAAUGGCUCACCAAGGCGACGAUCAGUAGCUGGUCUGAGAGGAUGAACAGCCACACUGGGACUGAGAUACGGCCCAGACUCCUACGGGAGGCAGCAGUGGGGAAUUUUGCGCAAUGGGGGAAACCCUGACGCAGCGACGCCUCGUGAGUGAUGACGUCUUUCGGGAUGUAAAGCUCUGUCGGCGGGGACGAUUAUGACGGUACCCGAAAAGGAAGCUCCGGCUAACUACGUGCCAGCAGCCGCGGUAAUACGUAGGGAGCGAGCGUUGUCCGGAUUUAUUGGGCGUAAAGCGUGCGUAGGCUGUUAGAUAAGUUGGAUGUUAAAGGCGGAGGCUUAACCUCUGUAUGCAUCCAAAACUGUUUGACUAGAGGACGAGAGAGGAAAGCGGAACUCACAGUGUAGCGGUGAAAUGCGUAGAUAUUGUGGGGAACACCUGUGGCGAAGGCGGCUUUCUGGACCGUUUCUGACGCUGAGGCACGAAAGCAUGGGGAGCAAACAGGAUUAGAUACCCUGGUAGUCCAUGCUGUAAACGAUGAUCACUAGGUGUGGGAGGUAUCGACCCCUUCUGUGCCGUAGCUAACGCGUUAAGUAAUCCGCCUGGGAAGUACGGCCGCAGGGCUAAAACU